CCUACGGGUGGCAGCAGUGAGGAAUAGUGGUCAAUGGACGCAAGUCUGAACCAGCCAUGCCGCGUGCAGGAAGACGGCUCUAUGAGUUGUAAACUGCUUUUGUACGAGGGUAAACGCAGAUACGCGUAUCUGUCUGAAAGUAUCGUACGAAUAAGGAUCGGCUAACUCCGUGCCAGCAGCCGCGGUAAUACGGAGGAUUCAAGCGUUAUCCGGAUUUAUUGGGGUUAAAGGGUGCGUAGGCGGUCGGAUAAGUUAGAGGUGAAAUCCCGAGGCUCAACUUCGGAAUUGCCUCUGAUACUGUUCGGCUAGUGCGUAGUUGCGGUAGGCUGAAUGUCUGGUGUAGCGGU
This 347-nucleotide ribosomal RNA is filed under the name uncultured bacterium. RNAcentral's name for it is "partial 16S ribosomal RNA". It matches the Rfam family "Bacterial small subunit ribosomal RNA", at positions 338 to 682 of the family's 1533-position model. The record is from RNAcentral.